This 253-nucleotide ribosomal RNA is filed under the name uncultured bacterium. Its description in RNAcentral is "partial 16S ribosomal RNA". It matches the Rfam family "Bacterial small subunit ribosomal RNA", at positions 524 to 776 of the family's 1533-position model. The record is from RNAcentral.
UACAGAGGGUGCGAGCGUUAAUCGGAAUUACUGGGCGUAAAGCGCGUGUAGGCGGCGAUGCAAGUCGGAUGUGAAAGCCCAUGGCUCAACCAUGGAAGUGCACCCGAAACUGCGUCGCUAGAGUCUCGGAGAGGAAGGUGGAAUGCUUGGUGUAGAGGUGAAAUUCGUAGAUAUCGUGAGGAAUACCAGAGGCGAAGGCGGCUACCUGGACAAUUGCUGACGCUCAGGCACGAAAGCGUGGGGAGCAAAAGGG